GGGGAUGUGGCGGAAUUGGUAGACGCAACGGACUUAAAAUCCGUUGAUUUUUAAAAUCGUGAGGGUUCAAGUCCCUUCGUCCCCA
RNAcentral lists this transfer RNA (85 nucleotides) under Elliptochloris bilobata. Its description in RNAcentral is "tRNA-Leu". It matches the Rfam family "tRNA". Rfam says of the family: Transfer RNA (tRNA) molecules are approximately 80 nucleotides in length. Their secondary structure includes four short double-helical elements and three loops (D, anti-codon, and T loops). The record is from RNAcentral. Lineage: Eukaryota; Viridiplantae; Chlorophyta; Trebouxiophyceae.